Poecile atricapillus (Black-capped chickadee) is the source of this 225-nucleotide long non-coding RNA. RefSeq lists it as uncharacterized. The transcript is spliced from 3 exons. NCBI's taxonomy places the organism in Eukaryota, Metazoa, Chordata, Aves, Passeriformes, Paridae. The record is from RefSeq and is a predicted model, not a curated record.
GGAAAGCAAAACACACAUUAGAGACCUGAUGAGAGAAAUUGGCCACGAGUGAGGCUUUGGUGUGAUCUGAUGACCUUUCUGUGGAGAAAACCCAUGGUGCAGAAUUUGUUAAGAGGUGUUCAGAGAAUAAAUGUUCUCAUGUAAUAACAAACCUGACAGAUCUUCAUAAUUGAUCCCUAUCCCUGACAUAUGAAGGGCACAGGAUGCAAAGAGAAUGAAGCACUG